CCAGUGAUAUCUAGAAAUAUGUAGUGACAAGCCAGCAAAACUGAAGAGAUGAAUCUUUAGGUGCAGUUACUGUGUGAUCUAAUUUUUCUAUCAUAAGUCUCGAUGAGAUCGAGGUUAACUUAUCAAACCUCAUCAUUAUCAUACGAUAGAAUCAUUCGAUUCGAGUCCAAUGUGAAAUUCAAUAGAAACAUUUUUCUAUCUUUCACAGUACAUGGCUAUAGGCUUAUGGACUCAAUCUCAUGAUCUAUAUAGGACUACUCUUCCAUCA
This 268-nucleotide long non-coding RNA is filed under the name Elaeis guineensis (African oil palm). RNAcentral describes it as "long non-coding RNA (EGUI_LNC028384)". Lineage: Eukaryota; Viridiplantae; Streptophyta; Magnoliopsida; Arecales; Arecaceae. The record is from RNAcentral.